Molecule: long non-coding RNA, 1934 nt
Filed under: Homo sapiens (human)
Lineage: Eukaryota; Metazoa; Chordata; Mammalia; Primates; Hominidae
Description: HSALNT0323664
Source: RNAcentral
CCCUUGUAUCAGAGACCACAGCUAUUAAAACAAGCAGUGGCAAAUAUAAAGAUAUUUGGACAGUACAGGAGAUACAUAGUGUUAGGAAAGUAUAGAACUUACAUAAAGAAAAUAAGUUGCCUCUAGAGCAUUAACCUCUGGGCCCCUGAGUAUUCCAAGGUUAGUUUUUUUAGAGAAAUAAUUUUUAAAGUGGCUGUAGAUUGAUCGAGGAGAUUGGAUAGAAGGUUAUAGAGAGAACCAAGGAAAAGGUCCUUCAACCUCCUGUUCGUGAUGUGGGCUUUCUCUACUGCUGUCAUCCUCUCUUAUCAAACUGUGUUGCCAGAACGGGCAAGGGCCACAGCCAUGGAAGAGGGGCUACCAAAUGGAACUCCAACCUAAGGGCUGGGACCAGGAUCUACCCAUCCCCAUCAAGCGAGGAUUGAUACUAACUACAGCCACUCCUGCGGGGGCCCAGGGCCUCAUUAUCCUAGGGGAAGAGGAGAUGGAGGUGAGAGGAAGAGGAUGGAUGAAUGUGGAAGGCCUUCUGCAGCUUAGCAUGCAAUGGUCAUUUCCUGUAUGCAAGGUCUUCUGCUAUGUUCUGUGCAGGAAAUCAAGAAUGAGAAACAAUUUUGGCCCUAGAGGCCUUACAAAUAUAUCUUCCUAAUUACAAGGUUAUAGUCCUUUGGGAAUUGCAAGUUCCCUUGAAAAUUCACACAAUCCUAACAUGUGUUGUGCCUAGUUUGAUGUGUUCUUAAACUAUUACUAGCUAACACUUCUUACUGCAGAAUUUCUGUGGAAAUGAGACAUAGGUAUUUCUACAGGAUAAAUGAGACGAGUGAAAAGAGGUGUUGAAAAGGAAAACGAAAGGAUGAAACAGAUACAAUUCCUACUUCGCUGUUUUUCAAAGUGCUUAUAGUGAGUGCUCUCCGUUUCUCACCCGAAGGGGAGAAACUUCCUUGGCCUUUUUCUUCAAGUAAAUAGAUUAAAUCUCUCUUAUUGCUAUUGCUAUUUGACCUUUUUCAUGAAGCAUAGCAAAGAGUUUUUCAUAAUCCUAAUAUAUACUUAUGGUUUGUGACUAAUGAAAAGAAUUAUUUCCAUCCUCUAAAUUAAUAGGCUUGCCUCCCUGCCCAGUAAGUUGUUCCUUCCUAUACAGCAUUCAGUAAAAUAUUUGCUGAGUAACUAAAAUGUCCAAGACACCUAUUUCAGCAAUAUAUGAACUAGAAACAAAACAAUAACUACAAACAUGACUUAUCUCUUCAAGGAAAGGAGUCAAUAUUCUUGUACGGAAAAAGGAUCGUAGAAAAAUACCUAAUAGCAUAGUGUGACAGAAAUUGCGUGGAAAUUACUACAAGGCAGCAAGUGAGAUAGACCCUAAGCUGAGCAGACAAUAAGGGUAUGGCAAUCCUAAAUCUACAUGGUGUGGUGAUUAAGUCCUGCGUCCAUGGAGUCAGAAAGAGCUGGGUCCUGACUCUACUUAUUAACUGUGCAACCUUGAAUAAGUCACUUAUACCAUGAGCUCCAAGUAUCUCAUCCUUAAAAUAGAUACAUUUCAGCACCUUAUUGAAUUUCUUCAGGCUAGGCUCUAGGGAUACAACGGUGAUCAUGACAGUUAUGGUCUCAGGCCUUAUUCAAUAAACAGCAAAGAAUCCAAAUUGGGAUAAGUAUUCUGAAAGGGAGAUAUGGGAAUGAAAACGAAAAGUAAACCAAAAAGUAAAACCUUUCUGAGACCAGUGAUUUUGACAGACACUGGAUUAUAGAGGACCUGAUAAACGACAAUAAGGAUUUUAAACUUUAACCUAAGCAGGAGAAGAAUUGAUUGAAGGGGUUUAAAUACACUUCCUUUACAGAAGUCUUGCGACUGUUACAUGAGAAAUUGGUAUGUAACAUUUUUAGUGCCUUCCUGAUAAAGCCUUUGCACUUCUAACUACUGCGUGAGUUACUCUACAGGGAAUAUA